This 433-nucleotide ribosomal RNA is filed under the name uncultured bacterium. Its description in RNAcentral is "partial 16S ribosomal RNA". It matches the Rfam family "Bacterial small subunit ribosomal RNA", at positions 29 to 507 of the family's 1533-position model. The record is from RNAcentral.
AACGAACGCUGGCGGCAUGCCUAACACAUGCAAGUCGAACGAGACCUUCGGGUCUAGUGGCGCACGGGUGCGUAACGCGUGGGAACCUGCCCUUAGGUUCGGAAUAACUCCCCGAAAGGGGUGCUAAUACCGGAUAAUGUCUUCGGACCAAAGAUUUAUCGCCUUUGGAUGGGCCCGCGUUGGCUUAGCUGGUUGGUAGGGUAAAAGCCUACCAAGGCGACGAUCCAUAGCUGGUCUGAGAGGAUGAUCAGCCACACUGGGACUGCGACACGGCCCAGACGCCUACGGGAGGCAGCAGUGGGGAAUAUUGGGCGAGGGGCGAAAGCCUGACCCAGCAAUGCCGCGUGAGUGAUGCAGGCCUUAGGGUUGUAAAGCUCUUUUACCCGGGAUGAUAAUGACAGUACCGGGUGAAUAAGCUCCGGCUAACUCCGUG